This is a non-coding RNA of Gossypium hirsutum (cotton), 123 nucleotides long. NCBI's taxonomy places the organism in Eukaryota, Viridiplantae, Streptophyta, Magnoliopsida, Malvales, Malvaceae. The record is from Rfam.
AAUAGGAGAAUAACAAAUCAGAUUUUUUCUCCUGAUUUUUAGUUUUUUCCUCGUAAAAAAAUUUAAAUCCAACUAAAAACACUAAAAGUCAAAGGGAAAAAUCUGAUUUGCUAUUUUUCUAUU